UUGGGAAUCUUGCACAAUGGGGGAAACCCUGAUGCAGCGACGCCGCGUGGAGGACGAAGGGUCUAGGCCUGUAAACUCCUUUUAUGGGGAAAGACUUAGGACGGUACCCCAUGAAUAAGGACCGGCUAACUACGUGCCAGCAGCCGCGGUAAGACGUAGGGUCCGAGCGUUGUCCGGAUUUACUGGGCGUAAAGAGCGCGUAGGCGGCUCGUUAAGUGUAGAGUGAAAUCUCUGGGCUCACCCCAGAAACUGCUCUGCAUACUGGCGAGCUAGAGGGUCGAAGAGGUAUGUGGAAUUCCUGGUGUAGCGGUGAAAUGCGUUGAUAUCAGGAGGAACACCCAUGGCGAAGGCAGCAUACUGGUCGGCAUCUGACGCUGAGGCGCGAAAGCGUGGGUAGCAAACA
RNAcentral lists this ribosomal RNA (403 nucleotides) under uncultured Fimbriimonas sp. RNAcentral describes it as "bacterial SSU rRNA". It matches the Rfam family "Bacterial small subunit ribosomal RNA", at positions 355 to 774 of the family's 1533-position model. Lineage: Bacteria; Bacillati; Armatimonadota; Fimbriimonadia; Fimbriimonadales; Fimbriimonadaceae. The record is from RNAcentral.